UCUUAUAAUGUUAGAUUAGCCUUGUGAGUUGAAUUGUUUUUCGUUUAGAUAUGUUUAUAAUUGUGAUUGGCGAAUCACCUGUGUAUUGUGGUACAUGCGCAUGAGAGUAGUCUGAGAAGAGGGUGUGUGGAACUGAUGAAAUCCUGUCACAUGUUGUGUCAUUACAGACUCACUCAGUAAAACAAAGAUCCAAAGAG
Molecule: long non-coding RNA, 197 nt
Organism: Perca flavescens (yellow perch)
Lineage: Eukaryota; Metazoa; Chordata; Actinopteri; Perciformes; Percidae
Exons: 3
Source: RefSeq, a predicted model, not a curated record